AAUAUUGGACAAUGGGCGCAAGCCUGAUCCAGCCAUGCCGCGUGAGUGAAGAAGGCCUUCGGAUUGUAAAGCACUUUCAUAUGGGAGGAAAGGCCGCUAACUAAUACUUAACUGGUAUGACGUUACCAACAUAAUAAGCACCGGCUAACUACGUUCCAGCAGCCGCGGUAAUACGCAGGGUGCAAGCGUUAAUCGGAAUUACUGGGCGUAAAGCGCGCGUAGGUGGUUCGUUAAGUUGGAUGUGAAAGCCCCGGGCUUAACCUGGGAACUGCUUUCAAAACUGGCGAGCUAGAGUACGGUAGAGGGUGGUGGAAUUUCCUGUGUAGCGGUGAAAUGCGUAGAUAUGGGAAGGAACAUCAGUGGCGAAGGCGACCACCUGGACUGAUACCGACACUGAGGUGCGAAAGCGUGGGGAGCAAACAGG
This 424-nucleotide ribosomal RNA is filed under the name uncultured bacterium. RNAcentral describes it as "partial 16S ribosomal RNA". It matches the Rfam family "Bacterial small subunit ribosomal RNA", at positions 360 to 776 of the family's 1533-position model. The record is from RNAcentral.